AUUGAACGCUGGCGGCAGGCCUAACACAUGAAAGUCGAACGAGUGGCGGACGGGUGAGUAAUGUCUGGGAAACUGCCUGAUGGAGGGGGAUAACUACUGGAAACGGUCGCUAAUACCGCAUACCCACGGCUGUUCCCAGAUGGGAUUAGCUAGUAGGAGGGGUAAAGGCUCACCUAGGCGACGAUCCCUAGCUGGUCUGAGAGGAUGACCAGACACACGGGAACGGCGACACGGUCCAGACUCCUACGGGAGGCAGCAGUGGGGAAUAUUGCACAAUGGGCGCAAGCCUGAUGCAGCCAUGCCGCGUGUAUGAAGAAGGCCGUCGGGUUGUAAAGUACUUUCAGCGGGGAGGCGUUACCCGCAGAAGAAGCACCGGCUAACUCCGUGCCAGCAGCCGCGGUAAUAC
This 406-nucleotide ribosomal RNA is filed under the name uncultured bacterium. RNAcentral's name for it is "partial 16S ribosomal RNA". It matches the Rfam family "Bacterial small subunit ribosomal RNA", at positions 30 to 526 of the family's 1533-position model. The record is from RNAcentral.